AAAUAUGAAGUAUUAUACACUUAGUUUCGACCUAAUUUUUGGGUUGAAGUUUUUAACACUUGAUUUU
RNAcentral lists this transfer RNA (67 nucleotides) under Phthiridium sp. A GC-2023a. RNAcentral's name for it is "tRNA-Arg". The record is from RNAcentral. Lineage: Eukaryota; Metazoa; Arthropoda; Insecta; Diptera; Nycteribiidae.